GGAGAGACCUACCCAGCCCGGGAAAAAAACAAACAAAGAGAGACCUUACUGGUGCUGUUUACACAUCUGUGUGGAGGACUAUCUGGGCUUGUGUGUUUUGACAUCGCGCUCAAAUGGCUGCACGGCUCCUGUCUCAGUGAAACGGAAGAUGUAGAGGAGCUGAAUGCUGGAGAGUGAUUGAAGGAGUGAAGCUGAGCCCUGGAUGGAGGGAUCUGCUGGAGGAAAGGAGAGAGAGAGGAUGCGGUCUCUUAAAGCCCCUGCCACCGGUGUCCUUGCCAGCCUCCAUCAAUCGCCCGGCGAUGGGCGGAACAGAGGAAGAGAGGGGCGAUAGAUGAAGUGAAAACUUUUCGAGUGUCGGCGGAACUGGGCCACAGCAUCCGAGCUGGGAGACCUGAGAGAAGAGAUGGGAGAGGGCGGCUCCGCUGACUGGAGGAGUACCAGCUGGUCUCAAACAGGUAGGGAGCCGUGCCAAGUCCCUGUGCCAGCGUCCGUCGUGCCCGCUGACGUUCGUCGUCUGUUGGCUUCCAUCAGGGCCUCUCUCUCUCUCUGAUCUGGAAUGAAGAUGAUUUGAUUAGACCUCUGGUAAAGGCUGGGCAGGCCCUAUACAAAGUCAUUAGGAUGGCCAGGAGUGGACUGGGGUGUUACGGGUGAGUAGUGGGUGACCGCAGCGGACUCACAUUUGCACUGGACUGUUAGUUGUAAUUCGGUUAAAAUGUUGUUGUGUGUCUGUGCAUGUGUGCGUAUGCACCUUUUCAACUUCCCUACUCUCAUCCCUCUGGUAAUUGAAUUGUGGUACAAUAAUGGAUCUAUGAUUUUAUUUUGUCUUAGGUCCAAAUGAGUUUUGGUGUGAACGUACACACACUGGCAGGUGUUUACACAUUACAGGGGCUCAAAGAAAAUCUCCCAAACUCUGUAGAUCACACCUGGCCUAUACACUGUAUGUAGUCUAUAUGCUAUGCAAAGAGGUAUGGAUACAAGUAUAGAAGGACCAAGUCUUUGUAUGGGAGACAAGGAUAUGC
Molecule: long non-coding RNA, 1019 nt
Organism: Oncorhynchus tshawytscha (Chinook salmon)
Lineage: Eukaryota; Metazoa; Chordata; Actinopteri; Salmoniformes; Salmonidae
Source: Ensembl